RNAcentral lists this non-coding RNA (28 nucleotides) under Drosophila melanogaster (fruit fly). Lineage: Eukaryota; Metazoa; Arthropoda; Insecta; Diptera; Drosophilidae. The record is from RNAcentral.
AAUUGACGAAAAUAUGUGGCUAAACCAA